AUUGAACGCUGGCGGCAGGCUUAACACAUGCAAGUCGAGCGGAGCGAGGGUGCUUGCACCUUAGCUUAGCGGCGGACGGGUGAGUAAUGCUUAGGAAUCUGCCUAUUAGUGGGGGACGACAUUCCGAAAGGGAUGCUAAUACCGCAUACGCGCUACGGGGGAAAGCAGGGGAUCUUCGGACCUUGCGCUAAUAGAUGAGCCUAAGUCGGAUUAGCUAGUUGGUGGGGUAAAGGCCUACCAAGGCGACGAUCUGUAGCGGGUCUGAGAGGAUGAGCCGCCACACUGGGACUGGGACACGGCCCAGACUCCUACGGGAGGCAGCAGUGGGGAAUAUUGGACAAUGGGCGGAAGCCGGAUCCAGCCAUGCGGCGUGUGUGAAGAAGGCCUUUUGGUUGUAAAGCACUUUAAGCGAGGAGGAGGCUACUAGUAUUAAUACUACUGGAUAGUGGACGUUACUCGCAGAAUAAGCACCGACUAACUCUGUGCCAGCAGCCGCAGUAA
Molecule: ribosomal RNA, 501 nt
Filed under: uncultured bacterium
Lineage: Bacteria
Description: partial 16S ribosomal RNA
Rfam family: Bacterial small subunit ribosomal RNA
Source: RNAcentral